RNAcentral lists this ribosomal RNA (467 nucleotides) under Streptococcus gordonii. RNAcentral's name for it is "bacterial SSU rRNA". It matches the Rfam family "Bacterial small subunit ribosomal RNA", at positions 28 to 471 of the family's 1533-position model. Lineage: Bacteria; Bacillati; Bacillota; Bacilli; Lactobacillales; Streptococcaceae. The record is from RNAcentral.
GACGAACGCUGGCGGCGUGCCUAAUACAUGCAAGUAGAACGCACAGUUUAUACCGUAGCUUGCUACACCAUAGACUGUGAGUUGCGAACGGGUGAGUAACGCGUAGGUAACCUGCCUGGUAGCGGGGGAUAACUAUUGGAAACGAUAGCUAAUACCGCAUAAUAUUAAUUAUUGCAUGAUAAUUGAUUGAAAGGUGCAAUUGCACCACUACCAGAUGGACCUGCGUUGUAUUAGCUAGUAGGUGAGGUAACGGCUCACCUAGGCGACGAUACAUAGCCGACCUGAGAGGGUGAUCGGCCACACUGGGACUGAGACACGGCCCAGACUCCUACGGGAGGCAGCAGUAGGGAAUCUUCGGCAAUGGACGAAAGUCUGACCGAGCAACGCCGCGUGAGUGAAGAAGGUUUUCGGAUCGUAAAGCUCUGUUGUAAGAGAAGAACGGGUGUGAGAGUGGAAAGUUCACACUG